CUAAAACAGGAAGCUAAGUGUCCUAGAAUCAAAAGCAGUCUUCUCUUCACCGGUGACCAGGUCCAAAAGAUAUCACUGGGACGCAUAAAGGACUUUCCCACAGUAUCAGGCACUAUCUGUAAAAAAAAAAAUCUGAUUUCCAGGAAAUAGAUAAAGGGCUGAGGAUUGCCCUCUGUUAAUUUACCAAUGGGAAGGACCACACUCGCAAACAAGCAACCGGACGCUUGGCUUCCUGAAUUCAGGGCUGUGUCCCUGACAACAGGUGACUUGCAGGGACAAAAGGUCUAUACUACAAAAUUUGGGCCAUGCAAUAGCUGUCCUGAGAAAAAUACAGAACAACCAAAGUUUCCUGCCUCACCUACGCCAACACAGAAAAUAGGUCCCAGGUAUGGUGCCAACCAGCAUGAUGCGAUGGAGAAAGCACCAGGUUUCGAGCCAAGAGACCUCCAUCUGAGUACCAGCUCUCUGCCAUUUUCUCCCCUUGUGACCUUGAAGGAGGAAUCAUUGCACAUCUCUGGGUUUCAGUUUCCUUACCUAUAAAAUGACGACAUGGUCCUAGACGAUCUCCAAGCACCUUUUCUAGCUCUAAGCCCUAUGACCCAAUUGAUUAAUAUGUAGUUUUGGAUUACCUAAGUGCCCAGGACUGUGCUUUGGGCUAUAUGAAUCACAAGGGAAGUAUAAGACCCAAUUACUGCCUUCAAGGAACAUGAAGAGGCACCAUGGAGUAGAAUGGUGGAUUCAGAAAGAAGAGGACCUGCAUUCAAAUCUCCCCUCUGAUAUUUAUGAGCCACAUGAAAGGGGCAAGUCAUCACUUCUUUGAAACGCACUUUCUUCAUCUGUAAAAAGAUAAUUUAAAACACCUGUAGCCCCUACCUCACAGGAUUGUUCUCUAUGACAGUGUAAAGGCUGUGUAUGUAUUUGGUGCUAUCCUAGAUGACACCUAAGGUGUUAUGUUAGCCACUCACACCAACUUGUGCUCUGCCUUCCUUAAGCCCACAGGAAGACAUGGUGUUACUUUAUUGUUUUUUAUUUUUUAUUCAUUUUAAACGGAAAUACAAAACAAGAAAAGAAAAAAACCCACAUACACAGCAGACCACGAGAGGAUUCAAUAUAAAACAAUAAAUUUCUAUUUCGAAUAUUUACUUUUUUUCUU
RNAcentral lists this long non-coding RNA (1153 nucleotides) under Phascolarctos cinereus (koala). RNAcentral's name for it is "lncRNA (ENSPCIG00000031964.1)". Lineage: Eukaryota; Metazoa; Chordata; Mammalia; Diprotodontia; Phascolarctidae. The record is from RNAcentral.